CCCGCAGGGCAACCUGCCUGUAAGACUGGGAUAACUCCGGGAAACCGGGGCUAAUACCGGAUAAUUCAUUCCCUCACAUGAGGGAAUGCUGAAAUACCGGUUCCGCUGUCCCUUUCACAAGGGGCCCCGGGGCCUUUACUUAAUUGGGAGGGAAACGGUCCCCCAAGGCCCCAAUGGUAACCCAACCUGGAAGGGGGUCCGGCCCCCUGGGAAAGGAAAACCGGCCCAAAUCCCAACGGAAGGAAAAAAAAGGAAAUUUUCCCCAAGGAAAAAAAUCUUAAAGAAAAAACCCCCGUGAGCGAAAAAAGGCCUUCGGGCCUAAAACUUUUUUUUCCAGGGAAAAAAAAUAUCCGAAAAAAUGGCCGGACCCUUACCGGACCCUAACCAAAAACCCCCGGUAAAUUCCCGGCCCCCACCCCGGGAAAUCCCAAGGGGGAAACGUUGUCCGGAAUUAUUGGGCGUAAAGCGCGCGCAGGCGGUCCUUUAAGUCUGAUGUGAAAAGCCCCACGGCUCAACCGUGGAGGGUCAUUGGAAACUGGGGGACUUGAGUGCAGAAGAGGAGAGCGGAAUUCCACGUGUAGCGGUGAAAUGCGUAGAGAUGUGGAGGAACACCAGUGGCGAAGGCGGCUCUCUGGUCUGUAACUGACGCUGAGGCGCGAAAGCGUGGGGAGCGAACAGGAUUAGAUACCCUGGUAGUCCACGCCGUAAACGAUGAGUGCUAAGUGUUAGAGGGUUUCCGCCCUUUAGUGCUGCAGCAAACGCAUUAAGCACUCCGCCUGGGGAGUACGGCCGCAAGGCUGAAACUCAAAGGAAUUGACGGGGGCCCGCACAAGCGGUGGAGCAUGUGGUUUAAUUCGAAGCAACGCGAAGAACCUUACCAGGUCUUGACAUCCUCUGCCACUCCUGGAGACAGGACGUUCCCCUUCGGGGGACAGAGUGACAGGUGGUGCAUGGUUGUCGUCAGCUCGUGUCGUGAGAUGUUGGGUUAAGUCCCGCAACGAGCGCAACCCUUGUUCUUAGUUGCCAGCAUUCAGUUGGGCACUCUAAGGAGACUGCCGGUGACAAACCGGAGGAAGGUGGGGAUGACGUCAAAUCAUCAUGCCCCUUAUGACCUGGGCUACACACGUGCUACAAUGGAUAGAACAAAGGGCAGCGAAGCCGCGAGGUGAAGCCAAUCCCAUAAAUCUAUUCUCAGUUCGGAUUGCAGGCUGCAACUCGCCUGCAUGAAGCCGGAAUCGCUAGUAAUCGCGGA
RNAcentral lists this ribosomal RNA (1252 nucleotides) under Bacillus sp. (in: firmicutes). RNAcentral describes it as "Bacillus sp. (in: Bacteria) partial 16S ribosomal RNA". It matches the Rfam family "Bacterial small subunit ribosomal RNA", at positions 113 to 1348 of the family's 1533-position model. The record is from RNAcentral. Lineage: Bacteria; Bacillati; Bacillota; Bacilli; Caryophanales; Bacillaceae.